UACGAGGGAUGCAAGCGUUAUCCGGAAUUAUUGGGCGUAAAGCGUUUGUAGGCGGGCGAGUGUGUUUAAUGUUAAAUCUUAAAGCUCAACUUUGAAAUUGCGUUAAAAACUGCUUGUCUUGAGUAUGGUAGGGGUAAAGGGAAUUCCCAGUGUAGCGGUGAAAUGCGUAGAUAUUGGGAAGAACACUAAACAGCGAAGGCACUUUACUAGGCUAAUACUGACGCUGAGAAACGAAAGGUAAGGUAGCGAAACGGAUUAGAUACCCGUGUAGUCUUACCCGUAAACUAUGGACACUAAACGGUAAAUUUUUAAUUUACUGUUAAAGCUAACGCGUUAAGUGUCCCGCCUGGGGAGUAUGCUUGCAAAAGUGAAACUCAAAGGAAUUGACGGGGGCCCGCACAAGCGGUGGAGCAUGUGGUUUAAUUCGACGGUACACGAAGAACCUUACCAGGAUUUGACAUGCUAGAUAGUUGCUUGAAAGAGUAACGUGCCGUAAGGAAUCUAGACACAGGUGGUGCAUGGCUGUCGUCAGUUCGUGUUGUGAAAUGUUGGGUUAAGUCCCGUAACGAACGCAACCCUUGUCUUUAGUUAUUUUCUAAAGAGACUGCCUGUAAUAAACAGGAGGAAGGUAAGGAUGAGGUCAAGUCAUCAUGCCCCUUAUGUCCUGGGCUACACACGUGCUACAAUGGGAAAGACAAUGAGCUGCAAAUCUGUAAAUUUAAGCAAAUCUCUUAAACUUUCUCGUAGUUCGGAUUGUGGGCUGCAACUCGCCCACAUGAAGUUGGAAUCGCUAGUAAUCGCCAGUCAGCUAUAUGGCGGUGAAUCCGUUCCCGGGCCU
This 838-nucleotide ribosomal RNA is filed under the name uncultured bacterium. Its description in RNAcentral is "bacterial SSU rRNA". It matches the Rfam family "Bacterial small subunit ribosomal RNA", at positions 524 to 1381 of the family's 1533-position model. The record is from RNAcentral.